RNAcentral lists this ribosomal RNA (274 nucleotides) under uncultured bacterium. RNAcentral describes it as "partial 16S ribosomal RNA". It matches the Rfam family "Bacterial small subunit ribosomal RNA", at positions 523 to 796 of the family's 1533-position model. The record is from RNAcentral.
AUACGGAGGGUGCAAGCGUUAUUCGGAAUCACUGGGCGUAAAGGACGCGUAGGCGGCUUGGCAAGUCAGAUGUGAAAUCCUACAGCUUAACUGUAGAACUGCAUUUGAAACUGCUAACCUAGAGUAUGGGAGGGGGAGAUGGAAUUAGUGGUGUAGGGGUAAAAUCCGUAGAUAUCACUAGGAAUACCGAAAGCGAAGGCGAUCUCCUGGAACAUAACUGACGCUAAGGCGUGAAAGCGUGGGGAGCAAACAGGAUUAGAAACCCUAGUAGUCC